RNAcentral lists this transfer RNA (25 nucleotides) under Tachyeres pteneres. RNAcentral's name for it is "partial tRNA-Phe". The record is from RNAcentral. RNAcentral also lists the same sequence under 3 other names. Lineage: Eukaryota; Metazoa; Chordata; Aves; Anseriformes; Anatidae.
GUCCGCAUAGCUUAGCACCAAAGCA